Molecule: ribosomal RNA, 497 nt
Filed under: uncultured bacterium
Lineage: Bacteria
Description: partial 16S ribosomal RNA
Rfam family: Bacterial small subunit ribosomal RNA
Source: RNAcentral
GAUGAACGCUGGCGGCGUGCCUAAUACAUGCCAGUCGAGCGAACGGACGAGAAGCUUGCUUCUCUGAUGUUAGCGGCGGACGGGUGAGUAACACGUGGAUAACCUACCUAUAAGACUGGGAUAACUUCGGGAAACCGGAGCUAAUACCGGAUAAUAUUUUGAUCCGCAUGGUUCAAAAGUGAAAGACGGUCUUGCUGUCACUUAUAGAUGGAUCCGCGCUGCAUUAGCUAGUUGGUAAGGUAACGGCUUACCAAGGCAACGAUGCAUAGCCGACCUGAGAGGGUGAUCGGCCACACUGGAACUGAGACACGGUCCAGACUCCUACGGGAGGCAGCAGUAGGGAAUCUUCCGCAAUGGGCGAAAGCCUGACGGAGCAACGCCGCGUGAGUGAUGAAGGUCUUCGGAUCGUAAAACUCUGUUAUUAGGGAAGAACAUAUGUGUAAGUAACUGUGCACAUCUUGACGGUACCUAAUCAGAAAGCCACGGCUAACUACGUG